UGGAACAAGAAAUAAUUCUACUUACAUGUGUUUCUGGCAGGAUAAACCUGUCUUUUUUUUUUUCUUUUCAACCUUAAAAAAAAGAAUAGCUCACCAAGAGCAACUCAUUUGAUUUUACUGGGGAAAGGUCUCCCUCCUGUGUCACUCUCUACAUCCGAUGUCUGUCAAUGUGAUGACAGUUGUGAAGCCCCACCUCUAAAGACAAUAUGUGAAGAGCUGAAAAUCAAAACUACCACCCUGUAUUUUAUCUGGGUACCAUUUAAGAACCCAGGAUCAAAGGAAUGAUAGCUUCAUUCUGGCAAGUAAGAAAAUGAAGGAAGUCAUGUCUCUUUGCUACCUACCAGGAGAAAGAUGGUGCUCUGUGGAUUAUUGCUGAGGCACACUUGCUGGGCAGCCUGGGGAAGGCUGCAUUGAUCUGUCCAUGGCCGUAUCUGUUUUGGUGGAUAAAGUCUCCAAGGCUAUAAAUACAGCAUUUUCCACCAUCAUGAAAUUCACUCCGAAAUAUUAAAAAAAGAAAAAAUAUCCAUAUGUAACUGAAACUGCUGUGUGACCUCCAUUUUGCCCAGUCCUCCAUACCAUUUGUCCUCCCUUCCUUUUCUUCCUUUUGGAUUUAGAUAUUUGGUGUUCUACACUGAGAAACAAAGAGCUGAUGCAGUAG
Dermochelys coriacea (leatherback sea turtle) is the source of this 658-nucleotide long non-coding RNA. RefSeq lists it as uncharacterized. NCBI's taxonomy places the organism in Eukaryota, Metazoa, Chordata, Testudines, Dermochelyidae. The transcript is spliced from 3 exons. The record is from RefSeq and is a predicted model, not a curated record.